This 801-nucleotide ribosomal RNA is filed under the name uncultured bacterium. RNAcentral describes it as "bacterial SSU rRNA". It matches the Rfam family "Bacterial small subunit ribosomal RNA", at positions 8 to 802 of the family's 1533-position model. The record is from RNAcentral.
AGAGUUUGAUCCUGGCUCAGAUUGAACGCUGGCGGCAUGCCUUACACAUGCAAGUCGAACGGCAGCACGGGAGCUUGCUCCUGGUGGCGAGUGGCGAACGGGUGAGUAAUAUAUCGGAACGUACCCUAGAGUGGGGGAUAACGCAGCGAAAGUUGCGCUAAUACCGCAUACGAUCUACGGAUGAAAGUGGGGGAUCGCAAGACCUCAUGCUCAUGGAGCGGCCGAUAUCUGAUUAGCUAGUUGGUGGGGUAAAGGCCUACCAAGGCAUCGAUCAGUAGCUGGUCUGAGAGGACGACCAGCCACACUGGAACUGAGACACGGUCCAGACUCCUACGGGAGGCAGCAGUGGGGAAUUUUGGACAAUGGGGGCAACCCUGAUCCAGCAAUGCCGCGUGAGUGAAGAAGGCCUUCGGGUUGUAAAGCUCUUUUGUCAGGGAAGAAACGGUGAGGGCUAAUAUCCUUUGCUAAUGACGGUACCUGAAGAAUAAGCACCGGCUAACUACGUGCCAGCAGCCGCGGUAAUACGUAGGGUGCAAGCGUUAAUCGGAAUUACUGGGCGUAAAGCGUGCGCAGGCGGUUAUGUAAGUCAGAUGUGAAAUCCCCGGGCUCAACCUGGGAAUGGCAUUUGAGACUGCAUGGCUAGAGUGUGUCAGAGGGGGGUAGAAUUCCACGUGUAGCAGUGAAAUGCGUAGAGAUGUGGAGGGAUACCGAUGGCGAAGGCAGCCCCCCGGGAUAACACUGACGCUCAUGCACGAAAGCGUGGGGAGCAAACAGGAUUAGAUACCCUGGUAGUCCACGCCC